Molecule: ribosomal RNA, 374 nt
Filed under: uncultured bacterium
Lineage: Bacteria
Description: partial 16S ribosomal RNA
Rfam family: Bacterial small subunit ribosomal RNA
Source: RNAcentral
UUUCCAGACUCCUACGGGAGGCAGCAGUGGGGGAUAUUGCACAAUGGGGGGAACCCUGAUGCAGCGACGCCGCGUGGGUGAAGGAGCGUUUCGGCGCGUAAAGCCCUAUCGGCAGGGAAGAAGGAGGACGGUACCUGACUAAGAAGCCCCGGCUAACUACGUGCCAGCCGCCGCGGCAAUACGUAGGGGGCAAGCGUUAUCCGGAUUUACUGGGGGUAAAGGGGGCGUAGACGGCAUAGCAAGUCUGAAGUGAAAGCCCGUGGCGCAACCGCGGAACUGCUUUGGAGACUGUUAAGCUGGAGUGCUGGAGAGGCAAGCGGAAUUCCUAGUGUAGCGGUGAAAUGCGUAGAUAUUAGGAGGAACACCAGUGGCGA